RNAcentral lists this ribosomal RNA (1211 nucleotides) under metagenome. Its description in RNAcentral is "SSU rRNA". It matches the Rfam family "Eukaryotic small subunit ribosomal RNA". The record is from RNAcentral.
GUUUUGCUCCAAGGACCAAUCUUGCAGUUAAAUAGCUCGUAGUUGAAUUUCGGGAUCAAUUUAUCGGUCGUGCCAAUGGUAUGAACUGGUACAAUUGGUUUCUCCCUUCUGACGAAGCAUGAUGUCAUUAAUUUGGUGUCGUGGGGAAUCAGGACUGUUACUUUGAAAAAAUUAGAGUGUUUAAAGCAAGCAUUAGCUUGAAUACAUUAGCAUGGAAUAAUGAAAUAGGACGUUUGAUCCUAUUUCGUUGGUUUCUAGGAUCGACGUAAUGAUUAAUAGGGAUAGUUGGGGGCAUUAGUAUUCAAUUGUCAGAGGUGAAAUUCUUGGAUUUAUUGAAGACUAACUACUGCGAAAGCAUUUGCCAAGGAUGUUUUCAUUAAUCAAGAACGAAAGUUAGGGGAUCGAAGACGAUCAGAUACCGUCGUAGUCUUAACCAUAAACUAUGCCGACUAGGGAUCGGAUGAUGUUAAUUUUUUAAUGACUCAUUCGGCGCCUUACGGGAAACCAAAGUGUUUGGGUUCCGGGGGGAGUAUGGUCGCAAGGCUGAAACUUAAAGGAAUUGACGGAAGGGCACCACCAGGGGUGGAGCCUGCGGCUUAAUUUGACCCAACACGGGGAAACUCACCAGGUCCAGACAUAGUAAGGAUUGACAGAUUGAGAGCUCUUUCUUGAUUCUAUGGGUGGUGGUGCAUGGCCGUUCUUAGUUGGUGGAGUGAUUUGUCUGGUUAAUUCCGAUAACGAACGAGACCUUAACCUGCUAAAUAGCUAGGCUUAGCAUUGCUAGGUCGUCAGCUUCUUAGAGGGACUAUCGGUGUUUAACCGAUGGAAGUUUGAGGCAAUAACAGGUCUGUGAUGCCCUUAGAUGUUCUGGGCCGCGCGCGCGCUACACUGAUGAAGUCAACGAGUUCACUCCCUUUGUCGGAAGACAUGGGUAAUCUUUUGAAACUUCAUCGUGCUGGGGAUAGAGCAUUGCAAUUAUUGCUCUUAAACGAGGAAUCCCUAGUAAGUACAAGUCAUCAGCUUGUGCUGAUUACGUCCCUGCCCUUUGUACACACCGCCCGUCGCUACUACCGAUUGAAUGGCUUAGUGAGGACUUCGGAUUGAGCUUCGGAGGCUGUAAAAGGCAUCCGAUUUUUAAAAAGUUGUUCAAACUUGGUCAUUUGGAGGAAGUAAAAGUCGUAACAAGGUUUCCGUAGGUGAACCUGCGGAAG